Molecule: ribosomal RNA, 308 nt
Filed under: Triticum aestivum (bread wheat)
Lineage: Eukaryota; Viridiplantae; Streptophyta; Magnoliopsida; Poales; Poaceae
Description: partial small subunit ribosomal RNA
Source: RNAcentral
CGUACGUCGUUGGCGUUUUUGCGCAAAAGCCCUUCUAUUUCUUUGAAAUAAGCCCGCAGUCCCUGUUUAAGUGGCACUCUGGAAAAACGUUUCAUGUUUGCGCGACAUCACGGGGACGACGCCACCGCCCCGGCGCCUGCCAGAUCCAAGCGGGGAAGGGGAGGAGGGGGCAUCCCAGCGGUGGUGAAGCUUGGCGGAGUAGGGGGCGGGUCGGCCUGCUGGUUUGCCGACACUGGAAAGGCUCGUGGCAGGGAGCUCCUCUCCUCUGCUUUGGGAGGUGGCUGAAGCGCUCGGGCUGCAGAGCUGCU